UGCCACACGAGGGCUCUAUUUACCACAGACUUUGGUAAACAGAACUAAAAGCGAUGUUUGGCUCGGAGGUUCGUUUCAUGUGGACUUCUGUGUGACUUAGAGAACUGAAAAUAGGUGGAGACCAAAAAAAAAAUAGCCUUGAAUAGAAUCUCAUUUUGUCGCUCCACUUGGGGACAUCACUUGGAAAAUGGCACAUUUCUAUUUGCGGGGUCUCUUAGUUCUGUUGAUAAUCAUAUCAGAACGCGCAGGUGAGUAGGUGACUAAAUUAUGACUUUCCCAGAUUCAAAAUGUAUUUUACUUUUUAUGGUCAGUAUUCCAAAGACUUAUUAACGCCAAACCAACUGUGACUGUUAUAAAUGUAGUAUACAUACACUUAUUUAACAACGGAUAUAAUAAUAAUCAUCUUCUGGUAACAUCUAGAAUGAACUGCCUUAAGCUAUUUAAAAUCCUAUAAAUAAUGUACUGUUGGUGUUAUUCUAAAGGGAUUCUAAUAUUUACCUCUCCAUCGUUUUAAUGACAUCUCAGCUGAGACACUGACUGCUUCAAAAGAAGAAGAUGUACUUCUUUCCUGCUUUGAUUCAAAUGUGAUGGAUCCAAGUGGCCGCGACAGAUUCAAGUUGAUUAAGUAUGCUACAAUUUCCAGUUCGAUGGAGGUUAUACUUGCCAGGCCUACAACAACCAACCACGCGGAUGCUAAAAGAGUAAAAUUGGAGGUUAAUGGAACUAAAGUGUGUGUUUUUCUGAAAAAAAUCCAACCAUCCGAUGAGGGACUGUAUGGAUGUGAAAUCUGCAAAGGGUGGGACUGUACUUUGAAAAACGUUUCUUUAAAGGUGAAAGAUUGCAAAACCCUUCCAGCAGUAAAGGCAAAUGCUAGCGCGCCUGUUAACCUGUCCUGCCCGGUGGACAACACGGACCCCAAAAUAUAUCCCCAAAAUAUAUCCUGGUUUAAGGUGAAAUCAGGCAACGCUGUAUCUCUCAACUCUGAAGGGGUUGAAAUGAAUGGGACAUCCUUAGCUUUCCUGUCUGUGCAACCCAGUGACAGCGGUUGGUUUGGAUGUAAGUACGUGCUCGGACAAACUCAGCGCUGCUAUGAAUUUAAUCUACGGGUCCAAGACAAAAAGGAGGUUGUGGCCACAGCAGUUCCAGGACUGGAAAUCAGUGAGUCUGUUAGGCAGACAAAGACAAAGAUGGAAACUGAGACGGAGACGGCGACGGAAAGGAACAGUGUAGCAUUUCUGCCUGUUGUUGUGACUUCAGUCAUUAUUGGCACUGCCAUAAUGGCUGCACUGAUAGGACUCUUCGUUUACUGCAGCCGUAACACCCAAAGAGUUACGCAGCAGACCCUCAGGCACACGCCACCAGGUUUGAUUCUUCUCUUUAACCUCGACGAGCAAUGCCGUGUAGCGCCUCAUCGGAAUAACUUUGGGUUCUCUCUGGUUGUUAAGGUACUCUUAUGCAUGCGUAUGAGGUUGUGA
Long non-coding RNA from Gasterosteus aculeatus (three-spined stickleback), 1475 nucleotides. Lineage: Eukaryota; Metazoa; Chordata; Actinopteri; Perciformes; Gasterosteidae. The record is from Ensembl.